ACGAACGCUGGCAGCGUGCUUAACACAUGCAAGUCGAACGGAAAGGCCAUGCUUUUGUGGGGUGCUCGAGUGGCGAACGGGUGAGUAACACGUGAGUAACCUGCCCUUGACUUUGGGAUAACUUCAGGAAACUGGGGCUAAUACCGGAUAGGAGCUCCUGCUGCAUGGUGGGGGUUGGAAAGUUUCGGCGGUUGGGGAUGGACUCGCGGCUUAUCAGCUUGUUGGUGGGGUAGUGGCUUACCAAGGCUUUGACGGGUAGCCGGCCUGAGAGGGUGACCGGCCACAUUGGGACUGAGAUACGGCCCAGACUCCUACGGGAGGCAGCAGUGGGGAAUAUUGCACAAUGGGCGGAAGCCUGAUGCAGCAACGCCGCGUGCGGGAUGACGGCCUUCGGGUUGUAAACCGCUUUCGCCUGUGACGAAGCGUGAGUGACGGUAAUGGGGAAAGAAGCACCGGCUAACUACGU
RNAcentral lists this ribosomal RNA (466 nucleotides) under uncultured bacterium. RNAcentral describes it as "partial 16S ribosomal RNA". It matches the Rfam family "Bacterial small subunit ribosomal RNA", at positions 29 to 506 of the family's 1533-position model. The record is from RNAcentral.